This 395-nucleotide ribosomal RNA is filed under the name Praticolella flavescens. RNAcentral's name for it is "partial 16S ribosomal RNA". It matches the Rfam family "Archaeal large subunit ribosomal RNA", at positions 1992 to 2689 of the family's 2987-position model. The record is from RNAcentral. Lineage: Eukaryota; Metazoa; Mollusca; Gastropoda; Stylommatophora; Polygyridae.
CAUGUAAAAUANAUAGCCGCAGUACCCUGACUGUGGUAAGGUAGCAUAAUCAAUAGGCUUAUAAUUUAGGUCUGGAAUGAAGGACGCUAUGGGGGCCCACUGUCUCACUAGGUUAUUUGGAAUUUUUUUAAGAAGUGCAAAAACUUUUAUUGAAUUAAUAGACGAGAAGACCCUAGAAAUUUUUUAAUAUAUUUUGUUGGGGCGACAGGGUAACAGUGAACUUACCUAUAUAUCUGAAGUAUAUGUACAGAACAAUUAAAUUACUCUAGGGAUAACAGCAUAAUUUAGUAAAGUUUGUGACCUCGAUGUUGGAUUAGGAACUUUUAAGUUUAGAAGAAUUAAAAGUUGGCUCUGUUCGAGCGUAUAUCACCUACNUGAUCUGGAUUCANACCGGA